AGAUUAAGUUAUUAAGGGCGCACGGUGGAUGCCUUGGCACUAGAAGCCGAUGAAGGACGUUACUAACGACGAUAUGCUUUGGGGAGCUGUAAGUAAGCGUUGAUCCAGAGAUUUCCGAAUGGGGAAACCCAGCAUGAGUUAUGUCAUGUUAUCGAUAUGUGAAUACAUAGCAUAUCAGAAGGCAGACCCGGAGAACUGAAACAUCUUAGUACCCGGAGGAAGAGAAAGAAAAAUCGAUUCCCUGAGUAGCGGCGAGCGAAACGGGAAGAGCCCAAACCAACAAGCUUGCUUGUUGGGGUUGUAGGACACUCUAUACGGAGUUACAAAAGUAUAUAUUAGACGAAUCAUCUGGAAAGUUGAAUCAAAGAAGGUAAUAAUCCUGUAGUCGAAAAUAUAUACUCUCUUGAGUGGAUCCUGAGUACGACGGAGCACGUGAAAUUCCGUCGGAAUCUGGGAGGACCAUCUCCUAAGGCUAAAUACUCUCUAGUGACCGAUAGUGAACCAGUACCGUGAGGGAAAGGUGAAAAGUACCCCGGAAGGGGAGUGAAAGAGAACUUGAAACCGUGUGCUUACAAGUAGUCAGAGCCCGUUAAUGGGUGAUGGCGUGCCUUUUGUAGAAUGAACCGGCGAGUUACGAUUUGAUGCAAGGUUAAGCAGCUAAUGUGGAGCCGUAGCGAAAGCGAGUCUGAAUAGGGCGUUUAGUAUUUGGUCGUAGACCCGAAACCAGGUGAUCUACCCUUGGUCAGGUUGAAGUUCAGGUAACACUGAAUGGAGGACCGAACCGACUUACGUUGAAAAGUGAGCGGAUGAACUGAGGGUAGCGGAGAAAUUCCAAUCGAACUUGGAGAUAGCUGGUUCUCUCCGAAAUAGCUUUAGGGCUAGCCUCAAGUGAUGAUUAUUGGAGGUAGAGCACUGUUUGGACGAGGGGCCCUUCUCGGGUUACCGAAUUCAGACAAACUCCGAAUGCCAAUCAAUUUAACUUGGGAGUCAGAACAUGGGUGAUAAGGUCCGUGUUCGAAAGGGAAACAGCCCAGACCACCAGCUAAGGUCCCAAAAUAUAUGUUAAGUGGAAAAGGAUGUGGCGUUGCCCAGACAACUAGGAUGUUGGCUUAGAAGCAGCCAUCAUUUAAAGAGUGCGUAAUAGCUCACUAGUCGAGUGACACUGCGCCGAAAAUGUACCGGGGCUAAACAUAUUACCGAAGCUGUGGAUUGUCCGUAGGACAAUGGUAGGAGAGCGUUCUAAGGGCGUCGAAGCAUGAUCGCAAGGACAUGUGGAGCGCUUAGAAGUGAGAAUGCCGGUGUGAGUAGCGAAAGACGGGUGAGAAUCCCGUCCACCGAUUGACUAAGGUUUCCAGAGGAAGGCUCGUCCGCUCUGGGUUAGUCGGGUCCUAAGCUGAGGCCGACAGGCGUAGGCGAUGGAUAACAGGUUGAUAUUCCUGUACCACCUAGUAUCGUUUUAAUCGAUGGGGGGGACG
Molecule: ribosomal RNA, 1475 nt
Filed under: Staphylococcus warneri
Lineage: Bacteria; Bacillati; Bacillota; Bacilli; Caryophanales; Staphylococcaceae
Description: bacterial LSU rRNA
Rfam family: Bacterial large subunit ribosomal RNA
Source: RNAcentral